ACUUAAAUUGAAGAGUUUGAUCAUGGCUCAGAUUGAACGCUGGCGGCAGGCCUAACACAUGCAAGUCGAGCGGUAGCACAGAGAGCUUGCUCUCGGGUGACGAGCGGCGGACGGGUGAGUAAUGUCUGGGAAACUGCCUGAUGGAGGGGGAUAACUACUGGAAACGGUAGCUAAUACCGCAUAACGUCGCAAGACCAAAGUGGGGGACCUUCGGGCCUCAUGCCAUCAGAUGUGCCCAGAUGGGAUUAGCUAGUAGGUGGGGUAACGGCUCACCUAGGCGACGAUCCCUAGCUGGUCUGAGAGGAUGACCAGCCACACUGGAACUGAGACACGGUCCAGACUCCUACGGGAGGCAGCAGUGGGGAAUAUUGCACAAUGGGCGCAAGCCUGAUGCAGCCAUGCCGCGUGUGUGAAGAAGGCCUUCGGGUUGUAAAGCACUUUCAGCGGGGAGGAAGGCGAUAAGGUUAAUAACCUUGGCGAUUGACGUUACCCGCAGAAGAAGCACCGGCUAACUCCGUGCCAGCAGCCGCGGUAAUACGGAGGGUGCAAGCGUUAAUCGGAAUUACUGGGCGUAAAGCGCACGCAGGCGGUCUGUCAAGUCGGAUGUGAAAUCCCCGGGCUCAACCUGGGAACUGCAUUCGAAACUGGCAGGCUAGAGUCUUGUAGAGGGGGGUAGAAUUCCAGGUGUAGCGGUGAAAUGCGUAGAGAUCUGGAGGAAUACCGGUGGCGAAGGCGGCCCCCUGGACAAAGACUGACGCUCAGGUGCGAAAGCGUGGGGAGCAAACAGGAUUAGAUACCCUGGUAGUCCACGCCGUAAACGAUGUCGAUUUGGAGGUUGUGCCCUUGAGGCGUGGCUUCCGGAGCUAACGCGUUAAAUCGACCGCCUGGGGAGUACGGCCGCAAGGUUAAAACUCAAAUGAAUUGACGGGGGCCCGCACAAGCGGUGGAGCAUGUGGUUUAAUUCGAUGCAACGCGAAGAACCUUACCUGGUCUUGACAUCCACAGAACUUUCCAGAGAUGGAUUGGUGCCUUCGGGAACUGUGAGACAGGUGCUGCAUGGCUGUCGUCAGCUCGUGUUGUGAAAUGUUGGGUUAAGUCCCGCAACGAGCGCAACCCUUAUCCUUUGUUGCCAGCGGUCCGGCCGGGAACUCAAAGGAGACUGCCAGUGAUAAACUGGAGGAAGGUGGGGAUGACGUCAAGUCAUCAUGC
This 1209-nucleotide ribosomal RNA is filed under the name Klebsiella pneumoniae. Its description in RNAcentral is "bacterial SSU rRNA". It matches the Rfam family "Bacterial small subunit ribosomal RNA", at positions 1 to 1198 of the family's 1533-position model. Lineage: Bacteria; Pseudomonadati; Pseudomonadota; Gammaproteobacteria; Enterobacterales; Enterobacteriaceae. The record is from RNAcentral.